RNAcentral lists this long non-coding RNA (1007 nucleotides) under Sus scrofa (pig). Its description in RNAcentral is "lncRNA (ENSSSCG00050026151.1)". Lineage: Eukaryota; Metazoa; Chordata; Mammalia; Artiodactyla; Suidae. The record is from RNAcentral.
UAUUUUCAAAAAUAAAUGGACAUUUGAUUAUAACAGUUCUUAUUUAAGUACCUUAAACAAGGAAGAUGUGGCUUGUUCGUUUAUAAAAGUAGUACUGAGAAACAUCAACUGAAGUACAUCCAGAGUGAACGGUUUUCCCUAAAUGGUGUGGUAGGUACAUAAAUUUUAGAGAAAUGAAAGUAAGAAAACUUUGAAUUAUCCUUAGUUAUUAACAAGAAGACUAAUGAGAUAAAGUCAAAAAUUUUAAGAAAUGGAUUUUCAGGUCCUUUCUCUCUGACCUUAUCCUUGUGGUUGUUUAGUUAAAAAAAAAAUGCAUAUAAACCUUAUGGGGCAGGCCUAGUUAUAGGAUUAUAGCUUGUGUUAGGUGAUUUGGGGAGGAUUUAAAGUAGCAGCAAUUUGCUCAGGAAGUAGGAGUAAUUCUGUGAUUGGGUUUCUUUAUGAACCUUACCUAGGAGGUAGGAAGAAUUAAUUGGGGCUAAGGUUAUAAUAAUAAAGCAAAAACAGUUCCUUAUAUUAGCCAGAAAAUGGGAAUAGUUGAUCAUUUUUGUGGUUUGGAGAGUGCUGUGUUUGUCUUGGUGCAGAUGUAAUUACUAAAUUGCCUUAUUUUUGUCUUGCUCUCUCAUAUUCACAGAGUGACUUUGUCUAAUGUUAAUGUUUUGUGAUUUUUUUAUGUUUAACAGAAUACCUUGAUCUGCCUGAGUGUCAGUCCAGCUCCUGGCUGCUUUCUCUUUUUUAAGAGGUUGGUUUCCCCAAGAAGCACCAUUAAACAAACAUUCAAGCACAAGUCGUUUCUCUGGAGAUGAAGGAGUAGGAAGAUGAGAUUAAAAAGCCAGGAAAGGAUGCCUAUGAAGCCAGUCACACGAAACAUCCAGAUGUUUUUAAUCCAUGCAAAGUAAUGCAUAGUAAUGAUGGAUAUGCACUGCAUUUUUCAACUGCUUUGCAAAAUGUAGUUAUAUAAAAAAGUUUUAAAAACACAAUUCUUUCAAAAUUUGUUGUUUUUUUUUUUU